Molecule: transfer-messenger RNA, 390 nt
Filed under: Patescibacteria group
Lineage: Bacteria
Also listed under: 3 other names
Description: XYA2-FULL-35-8 sp001778235 Standard tmRNA
Rfam family: transfer-messenger RNA
About the family: Bacterial tmRNA, also known as 10Sa RNA or SsrA, is named for its dual tRNA and mRNA-like properties. Its role is to liberate the mRNA from a stalled ribosome.
Source: RNAcentral
GGGGAUGCUGGGCUUCGACAUGUUGCCGGAGCAAAUUGUGCUAGAUGAGCUCGAGCUAACUCAUAAAACUGGUUCAAACAUUACAAAUGCAAAUACAUUUGUUAGCAAGCUAAAGGCUACUUUCAGUAUGCCAGCACUUGCAACUGUUGCAGUUUAACUUUUAAACUCAACCGUCUCACUGCUAAUGCCUUCUAGGCAGAGCGAGAUGUCAUAUCGAAGGCUUAAAUUGUAAUUUGUCCAAGCUUACAAUUGAAAUUCUUAUUGGACUCGGAUUUGUAGAAUUUGGUUUACUUUCUAUCUACAAAACCUAAAUCAAAAAAGUAAACUAUUCUAGAAGACUCAAUUUGUAAAGCUUCAUGGACGCGGGUUCAACUCCCGCCAUCUCCACCA